This 506-nucleotide ribosomal RNA is filed under the name uncultured bacterium. RNAcentral's name for it is "partial 16S ribosomal RNA". It matches the Rfam family "Bacterial small subunit ribosomal RNA", at positions 29 to 523 of the family's 1533-position model. The record is from RNAcentral.
AGUGAACGCUGGCGGUAGGCCUAACCCAUGCAAGUCGAACGGCAGCACAGGAGAGCUUGCUCUCUGGGUGGCGAGUGGCGGACGGGUGAGGAAUACAUCGGAAUCUACUUUUUCGUGAGGGAUAACGUAGGGAAACUUACGCUAAUACCGCAUAAGACCUAUGGGUGAAAGCAGGGGAUUUUCGGACCUUGCGCGAUUGAAUGAGCAGAUGUCGGUUUAGCUAGUUGGCGGGGUAAAGGACCACCAAGGGGACGAUCCGUAGCUGGUCAGAGAGGAUGAUCAGCCACGCUGGAACUGAGGCACGGUCCAGACUCCUACGGGAGGCUGCAGUGGGGAACAUUGGACAAUGGGCGCAAGCCUGAUCCAGCCAUACCGCGGGGGUGAAGAAGGCCGUCAGGUUGUAAAGCCCUUUUGUUGGGAAAGAAAUCCAGCUGGUUAAUACCCGGUUGGGAUGACGGUACCCAAAGAAUAAGCACCGGCUAACUUCGUGCCAGCCGCCGCCGUAA